RNAcentral lists this ribosomal RNA (253 nucleotides) under uncultured bacterium. Its description in RNAcentral is "partial 16S ribosomal RNA". It matches the Rfam family "Bacterial small subunit ribosomal RNA", at positions 524 to 776 of the family's 1533-position model. The record is from RNAcentral.
UACGUAGGGUGCGAGCGUUAAUCGGAAUUACUGGGCGUAAAGCGUGCGUAGGCGGUUCGCUGUGUCCGAUGUGAAAGCCCUGGGCUCAACCCGGGAACUGCUUUUGAAACUGCCGAGCUAGAGUGCGGAAGGGGCAACUGGAAUUCCCAGUGUAGCGGUGAAAUGCGUAGAUAUUGGGAAGAACACCUGAGGCGAAGGCGGGUUGCUGGGCCGACACUGACGCUGAGGCGCGAAAGCCAGGGGAGCGAACGGG